GGGCCCGUAGCUCAGCCAGGUUAGAGCGACCGGCUCAUAACCGGUUGGUCGUGGGUUCAAAUCCCACCGGGCCCA
This 75-nucleotide transfer RNA is filed under the name Thermoprotei archaeon. RNAcentral's name for it is "tRNA-Met". It matches the Rfam family "tRNA". From Rfam's summary of the family: Transfer RNA (tRNA) molecules are approximately 80 nucleotides in length. Their secondary structure includes four short double-helical elements and three loops (D, anti-codon, and T loops). Lineage: Archaea; Thermoproteati; Thermoproteota; Thermoprotei. The record is from RNAcentral.